This 68-nucleotide transfer RNA is filed under the name Lamprolepis smaragdina. RNAcentral describes it as "tRNA-Ala". Lineage: Eukaryota; Metazoa; Chordata; Lepidosauria; Squamata; Scincidae. The record is from RNAcentral.
AAGGCUUGUAAAACUCUAAUUUACAUAUCCUGAAUGCAACUCAGACACUUUAAUUAAGCUAAAGCCUC